UCGAUCGCCUCCUAUCUCGAUCGUGCUCCUUCCAUCUUGUUCUUCUGGGAUUCUUUUCCCCGCAUUCUCUUCUUACAGCGCCGCCGCUUCGGCUUCGGCUCCCAAUGUCUCUCUGGCCCUCUGCUACGAGAAAUCGUGCCGUAAUAUUGCCAACAUCGUCGUCAAUUACCUCGGCGAGAUUGACGCCGACCGCCUCCUCUCCAUCGUCGGCAACGCCAGGAGCCGGAACGGCACCAUAUCCUGCUGGCUUGAAUUACAGUAUGGAGCACAAACAGAUUCUCUGGAGCCCCCUCAGGGAUACAUCUAUUGGGUAGUGGUGGAUGGACAUCGACUUUAUGAGGAUUAUGAUAACUUCGAAGGUGACACUUGCAAAGCUUCUACUAGGGAGUCACCAAAAGACCUGCUCUGGAUUGACCCUCCAUACCCAACCGGGAAAAGGAAUCAAAUAGUCUUAUGCUCAUGAGAUGAUCAUUUCAGAAUGAUAAGAUGAAGAUAAGAAUGGUACUGAUUGUGGUGGGUUAUGCCCUCCAAUGUUCCCCAUCAGUAAUGAAAUUUUUAGGCUCACAACAUUGGUGGAUCUCAAGGAUUGUACCUAUGGUAAAGAAAGAAAAAGAUGAGAAGGAGAGGCAUCAUAUUAUGGAAAAUGUUGGUAACAAAUUUACCUCUUUCUCAUUAAGGUUAGGGUUGAUAACAAAUAGGAUAGGAUACUAGUAAAUUUUACCUAAUCCAGAAAUUUGAAUCUUACCAGAAAACUGGUUUGUGUAUUAAUUUAAUCAAAAAAUAGACUUUAAUAUAGGAUCACUAAAAGGUAUGGAAAAUGUUGGUAUUGAAAUAACUUGAAUUGCACAAUUAUGCAUGGUCCAUUUUUUAAGAAAUAAGAAAAAAGAAACAUUUACAAAGAUCUUUACUUCAACUCAUUUAGAAGUUCAAAAGCUUAAAAUAUUACUAGACAUAGUAUGUUUGAAUUAUAUCUAUUUAAAUUUCUGUUGAGAAAACAAUCACUGAUUAUUCACCUAUUUACUUGCAUAUACUCAUUCACUGUUCUUUAAAGUCCUCCCUCAUAUUGUCCACAUGACUUGAGAUAACUUUUCAGAGAGGUGAAGAACUCUGAUUUCCUGCUGUGCAAGCUCUGUAUGCAGAAAAAUCGUGCCUUGGGGGGGCACUCAUGGAAUCUCCUUUUGUUUUGGUGUACACUUCAUUGAUUUCUUUGUUUAGUACGACAGCAGAAACAGUCAUGACAAAUCAUUACUGCCCAAAAGAAUAAAAAAGGUUUAUAGUA
This is a long non-coding RNA of Musa acuminata AAA Group (dessert banana), 1279 nucleotides long. RefSeq lists it as uncharacterized. The record is from RefSeq and is a predicted model, not a curated record. The transcript is spliced from 4 exons. Lineage: Eukaryota; Viridiplantae; Streptophyta; Magnoliopsida; Zingiberales; Musaceae.